UACGGGGGGGGCAAGCGUUGUUCGGAAUUACUGGGCGUAAAGGGCGCGUAGGCGGCUUACCAAGUCAGGCGUGAAAUUCCCGGGCUCAACCUGGGGGCUGCGCUUGAUACUGGUGAGCUUGAAUGCGGGAGAGGAUAGUGGAAUUCCCAGUGUAGAGGUGAAAUUCGUAGAUAUUGGGAAGAACACCGGUGGCGAAGGCGGCUAUCUGGCCCGUAAUUGACGCUGAGGCGCGAAAGCGUGGGGAGCAAACAGG
Molecule: ribosomal RNA, 253 nt
Filed under: uncultured bacterium
Lineage: Bacteria
Description: partial 16S ribosomal RNA
Rfam family: Bacterial small subunit ribosomal RNA
Source: RNAcentral